This 460-nucleotide ribosomal RNA is filed under the name uncultured bacterium. RNAcentral describes it as "partial 16S ribosomal RNA". It matches the Rfam family "Bacterial small subunit ribosomal RNA", at positions 338 to 795 of the family's 1533-position model. The record is from RNAcentral.
CCUACGGGUGGCAGCAGUGAGGAAUAUUGGUCAAUGGACGGAAGUCUGAACCAGCCAUGCCGCGUGCAGGAAGACGGCUCUAUGAGUUGUAAACUGCUUUUGUACAAGGGUAAACCUGAAUACGUGUAUUCAGCUGAAAGUACUGUACGAAUAAGGAACGGCUAACUCCGUGCCAGCAGCCGCGGUAAUACGGAGGAUCCAAGCGUUAUCCGGAUUUAUUGGGUUUAAAGGGUGUGUAGGCGGAUUGAUAAGUUAGAGUUGAAAUGUCCGGGCUUAACUCGGGAACUGCCUCUAAUACUUUUGAUCGAGAGAGUAGAUGCGGUAGGCGGAAUGUAUGGUGUAGCGGUGAAAUGCUUAGAGAUCAGACAGAACACCGAUUGCGAAGGCAGCUUACCAAUCUAUAUCUGACGUUGAGGCACGAAAGCGUGGGGAGCAAACAGGAUUAGAUACCCCUGUAGUC